AGGGCCCUACUGAGAUUAAGUAAUAUAAUAAAAAUGCUAGCAAAAGUAUGAAAUAAGUAGAAAUAAUGGAAUACAAUUGUGAAUUAAGUAAUAUUACACAAACAACAAUCAACACAUCAAGGGUAAGAUAACACAGAGUAAGACAACUCAAUGUCAGCACCGAUUACGAGGAUCUCCCAGGAUACUGUCAUGUAGUCCAUUUCCAUGUCAACGCCAACAACGAGGAUCUCCCAGGAUACCGUCUUGUAGUCCAUUUCCAUGUCAAUACUAAUAACGAGGAUCUCUCUGGAUACCGUCCUGUAGUCUAUUUCCAUAUCAAUAGCAAUAACGAGGAUCUCCCAGGAUGCUGUCCUGUAGUCUAUUUCCAUGUCAAUACCAAUAACAAGGAUCUCCCAAGAUAUCGUCCUGUAGUCCAUAAUAUAAAUGUGCAGGGGGAUCUCCCGAGAGUCUAACGCGUAGUCCCAAAGUAAAUGUGUAGGGGGAUCUCCUGGGAAUCUAACCCGUAGUCCCAAAUAUAAA
Molecule: long non-coding RNA, 519 nt
Filed under: Nicotiana benthamiana
Lineage: Eukaryota; Viridiplantae; Streptophyta; Magnoliopsida; Solanales; Solanaceae
Description: long non-coding RNA (NBEN_LNC002525)
Source: RNAcentral